UACGUAGGGGGCAAGCGUUGUCCGGAAUUAUUGGGCGUAAAGGGCGCGUAGGCGGAUGUUUAAGUCCGGUGUGAAAGAUCAGGGCUCAACCCUGAGAGUGCAUCGGAAACUGGGCAUCUUGGGGACAGGAGAGGAAAGUGGAAUUCCACGUGUAGCGGUGAAAUGCGUAGAUAUGUGGAGGAACACCAGUGGCGAAGGCGACUUUCUGGACUGUAACUGACGCUGAGGCGCGAAAGCGUGGGGAGCAAACAGG
This 253-nucleotide ribosomal RNA is filed under the name uncultured bacterium. RNAcentral's name for it is "partial 16S ribosomal RNA". It matches the Rfam family "Bacterial small subunit ribosomal RNA", at positions 524 to 776 of the family's 1533-position model. The record is from RNAcentral.